CAAAAUAUAGCUAAAUCAGUAAAGCACCUCCCUUACACCGAGGAAGUACCCGUGCAACUCGGGUUAUCUUGA
RNAcentral lists this transfer RNA (72 nucleotides) under Zearaja chilensis. Its description in RNAcentral is "Dipturus chilensis tRNA-Val". It matches the Rfam family "tRNA". Rfam says of the family: Transfer RNA (tRNA) molecules are approximately 80 nucleotides in length. Lineage: Eukaryota; Metazoa; Chordata; Chondrichthyes; Rajiformes; Rajidae. The record is from RNAcentral.